GAUGAACGCUGGCGGCGUGCCUAAUACAUGCAAGUCGAGCGAACAGACGAUGAGCUUGCUCCUCUGACGUUAGCGGCGGACGGGUGAGUAACACGUGGAUAACCUACCUAUAAUACUGGGAUAACUUCGUGAAACCGGAGCUAAUACCGGAUAAUAUAUUUAACCGCAUGGUUCAAUAUUGAAAUACGGUUUUUCUGUCACUUAUCGAUUGAUCCUCCCCGCAUUAGCUAGUUGGUAAGGUAACGGCUUACCAAGGCGACGAUGCGUAGCCGACCUGAUAGGGGGAGCGGCAACACUGGAACGGAGACACGGUCAAGACGACUACGGGAGGCAGCAGUAGGGAAUCUUCCGCAAUGGGCGAAAGCAUGACGGAGCAACGCCGCGUGAGUGAUGAAGGUCUUCGGAUCGUAAAACUCUGUUAUUAGGGAAGAACAAAUGUGUAAGUAACUAUGCACGUAUUGACGGUAACUAAUCAGAAAGCCACGGCUAACUACGUG
Molecule: ribosomal RNA, 497 nt
Filed under: uncultured bacterium
Lineage: Bacteria
Description: partial 16S ribosomal RNA
Rfam family: Bacterial small subunit ribosomal RNA
Source: RNAcentral